CCUACGGGAGGCAGCAGUGAGGAAUAUUGGUCAAUGGGCGCGAGCCUGAACCAGCCAAGUCGCGUGAGGGAGGACGGCCCUACGGGUUGUAAACCUCUUUUGCCGGGGAGCAACGGGCGUCACGUGUGUCGCCCCUGAGAGUACCCGGAGAAAAAGCCUCGGCUAACUCCGUGCCAGCAGCCGCGGUAAUACGGAGGAUGCGAGCGUUAUCCGGAUUUAUUGGGUUUAAAGGGUGCGUAGGCGGAUCGUUAAGUCAGUGGUCAAAUUGAGGGGCUCAACCCCUUCCCGCCAUUGAAACUGGCGCUCUUGAGUGGAAGAGAAGUAUGCGGAAUGCGUGGUGUAGCGGUGAAAUGCAUAGAUAUCACGCAGAACCCCGAUUGCGAAGGCAGCAUGCCGGCUUCCGACUGACGCUGAAGCACGAAAGCGUGGGGAUCGAACAGGAUUAGAUACCCUGGUAGUC
This 460-nucleotide ribosomal RNA is filed under the name uncultured bacterium. Its description in RNAcentral is "partial 16S ribosomal RNA". It matches the Rfam family "Bacterial small subunit ribosomal RNA", at positions 338 to 795 of the family's 1533-position model. The record is from RNAcentral.